Molecule: ribosomal RNA, 496 nt
Filed under: uncultured bacterium
Lineage: Bacteria
Description: partial 16S ribosomal RNA
Rfam family: Bacterial small subunit ribosomal RNA
Source: RNAcentral
GAUGAACGCUGGCGGCGUGCCUAAUACAUGCCAGUCGAGCGAACAGACGAGGAGCUUGCUCCUCUGACGUUAGCGGCGGACGGGUGAGUAACACGUGGAUAACCUACCUAUAAGACUGGGAUAACUUCGGGAAACCGGAGCUAAUACCGGAUAAUAUAUUGAACCGCAUGGUUCAAUAGUGAAAGACGGUUUUGCUGUCACUUAUAGAUGGAUCCGCGCCGCAUUAGCUAGUUGGUAAGGUAACGGCUUACCAAGGCCACGAUGCGUAGCCGACCUGAGAGGGUGAUCGGCCACACUGGAACUGAGACACGGUCCAGACGCCUACGGGAGGCAGCAGUAGGGAAUCUUCCGCAAUGGGCGAAAGCCUGACGGAGCAACGCCGCGUGAGUGAUGAAGGUCUUCGGAUCGUAAAACUCUGUUAUUAGGGAAGAACAAAUGUGUAAGUAACUAUGCACGUCUUGACGGUACCUAAUCAGAAAGCCACGGCUAACUACGU